This 450-nucleotide ribosomal RNA is filed under the name Arthrobacter sp. Its description in RNAcentral is "bacterial SSU rRNA". It matches the Rfam family "Bacterial small subunit ribosomal RNA", at positions 42 to 504 of the family's 1533-position model. The record is from RNAcentral. Lineage: Bacteria; Bacillati; Actinomycetota; Actinomycetes; Micrococcales; Micrococcaceae.
GCGUGCUUACACAUGCAAGUCGAACGAUGAUCCCCAGCUUGCUGGGGGGAUUAGUGGCGAACGGGUGAGUAACACGUGAGUAACCUGCCCUUAACUCUGGGAUAAGCCUGGGAAACUGGGUCUAAUACCGGAUAUGACUCCUCAUCGCAUGGUGGGGGGUGGAAAGCUUUAUUGUGGUUUUGGAUGGACUCGCGGCCUAUCAGCUUGUUGGUGAGGUAAUGGCUUACCAAGGCGACGACGGGUAGCCGGCCUGAGAGGGUGACCGGCCACACUGGGACUGAGACACGGCCCAAACUCCUACGGGAGGCAGCAGUGGGGAAUAUUGCACAAUGGGCGCAAGCCUGAUGCAGCGACGCCGCGUGAGGGAUGACGGCCUUCGGGUUGUAAACCUCUUUCAGUAGGGAAGAAGCGAAAGUGACGGUACCUGCAGAAAAAGCGCCGGCUAACUAC